GAAAAAUUAGCGGAUGACUUGUGGCUGGGGGUGAAAGGCCAAUCAAACCGGGAGAUAGCUGGUUCUCCCCGAAAGCUAUUUAGGUAGCGCCUCGUGAAUUCAUCUCCGGGGGUAGAGCACUGUUUCGGCAAGGGGGUCAUCCCGACUUACCAACCCGAUGCAAACUGCGAAUACCGGAGAAUGUUAUCACGGGAGACACACGGCGGGUGCUAACGUCCGUCGUGAAGAGGGAAACAACCCAGACCGCCAGCUAAGGUCCCAAAGUCAUGGUUAAGUGGGAAACGAUGUGGGAAGGCCCAGACAGCCAGGAUGUUGGCUUAGAAGCAGCCAUCAUUUAAAGAAAGCGUAAUAGCUCACUGGUCGAGUCGGCCUGCGCGGAAGAUGUAACGGGGCUAAACCAUGCACCGAAGCUGCGGCAGCGACGCUGAUGCGUUGUUGGGUA
RNAcentral lists this ribosomal RNA (442 nucleotides) under Escherichia coli. RNAcentral describes it as "partial 23S ribosomal RNA". It matches the Rfam family "Bacterial large subunit ribosomal RNA", at positions 791 to 1230 of the family's 2925-position model. RNAcentral also lists the same sequence under 1 other name. Lineage: Bacteria; Pseudomonadati; Pseudomonadota; Gammaproteobacteria; Enterobacterales; Enterobacteriaceae. The record is from RNAcentral.